UGGGGAAUUUUGGACAAUGGGCGCAAGCCUGAUCCAGCAAUGCCGCGUGCAGGAUGAAGGCCUUCGGGUUGUAAACUGCUUUUGUACGGAACGAAACGGUCUUUUCUAAUACAGAAGGCUAAUGACGGUACCGUAAGAAUAAGCACCGGCUAACUACGUGCCAGCAGCCGCGGUAAUACGUAGGGUGCGAGCGUUAAUCGGAAUUACUGGGCGUAAAGCGUGCGCAGGCGGUUUUGUAAGACAGAGGUGAAAUCCCCGGGCUCAACCUGGGAACUGCAUUUGUGACUGCAUAGCUGGAGUGCGGCAGAGGGGGAUGGAAUUCCGCGUGUAGCAGUGAAAUGCGUAGAUAUGCGGAGGAACACCGAUGGCGAAGGCAAUCCCCUGGGCCUGCACUGACGCUCAUGCACGAAGGCGUGGGGAGCAAACA
RNAcentral lists this ribosomal RNA (427 nucleotides) under uncultured bacterium. RNAcentral describes it as "bacterial SSU rRNA". It matches the Rfam family "Bacterial small subunit ribosomal RNA", at positions 355 to 774 of the family's 1533-position model. The record is from RNAcentral.